GCGGUCUUUUUUUUUGCAGACAUGAGAAGGAAAGGAUGUCCGUUUUCGUUUAUGGCAAUAGUUGCUUGCGUUUAUGGAACUUGGAAUGGAGCCAGUUGUUGGCUGGCUAGCCUUGCUCCGGCGGUUAUUUUCUUUCCGCAAUGAAGUAGCUAUUUAACGUUACCAAGUGAACAGAUCGGAAAAAUUUAGUUUAAGUCGUCAGGCAAGAAAAAAUGGCUAAAGCAUUAAGUGGUUGUGCCACCAUUCAGGUCUUCAGACAUGGGAGGGCUGCAAAUGGGAAUAACACGAUACCCCUUCAUGGUAGUUGUCUCCCACAUCCUUACAUUAAAAAUAAAAGCAUGCGGACUGAAUGAAUUGCAUCAACUCUUAAGGAAAGCAUGCUCAGUCAACUCCAUUGAAGGUGAUUCAACUCUAGUCAAUGCGUUUUGAAGACUAAGCAUGGAACUGCUGGGACUGGAUUGAUGGUUAAAUGGAAAGGGUAUUAAAGGAAAAACGCAAUUUGGUGGACUGCUUGCAUUUCAGCAGGAACUUAUCAAGGAAUACAUGUGUGUAACAGGCCAAUCGAGUUGAAGCAUAGGAUUGUUUCUUUCUGGACUUGGGUGGGGAACCGAAUGUUACAUCCUGCAGAUUCACGAAGCUCCAGGCCAGACUGUUUGGCUCAGCCGCCCACCAGCUGUGUUCACAUGGCCCUUUGAUACAUCUAACCCCGGAUAGUCACUGCAUAAUCCUCUUGUCUUGCAAUGUCAGUGGUUUCUGAACAAAUGUACCACAUAAUGAAUUGAAUGUAUGGUCCCAACUGCAUAGACAGUGGAACAGUGUCAAGCGGUGAACAAUAAAAUUGACUUUUGUAAA
Long non-coding RNA from Oncorhynchus nerka (sockeye salmon), 852 nucleotides. RefSeq lists it as uncharacterized. NCBI's taxonomy places the organism in Eukaryota, Metazoa, Chordata, Actinopteri, Salmoniformes, Salmonidae. The transcript is spliced from 8 exons. The record is from RefSeq and is a predicted model, not a curated record.